UCGGAUGCAGUUUCAUAUCAAGAUUUCUUCUCUCGUUGCCUUAGUUGUCCUAUCAGCUUCUUUGGUCCUCUUUGAGGCGAACUCCCUCCCCCCUCUAAAGCUAUUCAAAUGGCACACUGCAGGAUUAUCCCUCAGCCUCUGCGAUAUGCUGGUUUGGUCAGACUUAAAGUCCGCUCUAGGUUUGCUUUGGCUACAGAGACUGAAACUGUGGGGGGAAAAAAUGAUCAGAUUAAUUUGAAGUCAAAAAGAGAGAGUUGGAUUGCUAAUUUUUACAUCCUUGAGGAAGCUGUUUGAGGAUUUUAUUUACUUCAUUUCGUUUAAUAAUGGAGCCAACAGUGCCUCUGCAAUCACAACAGGCUCUUAGCAGACUUAGAAGAUUUAAGAUUACAAAAGGGAUUGCUUUGUCAGCAAGGAUUUUGGACAGUGGGCGGAUUGUUAGAAGGAUCCAAAUGUUUUUUGGGCCAGAACAGCUGUUAUUUAAAUAUUUCAUACCUGGAUUAAGCGCAAUGUCUUUUUUUUUUUUUUUUUUUACAAACCCCAAUGGACUACUAAGUCGUAUUCUGUUUUUACGAGGACUUCUUCACCCACCAGGAAAUGUCUAGGGGAAUGUGAGGUGUUUUCACAGUCACUGAGGUGUAUUGACCUCAAUAAGAGCAGAAUAAACCCCUAUGUCUCUUGGGUCAGACAGCAACCUCCCACAAUAGACCAAAACUGUGACUUUUCAGUGAAGUAUUUUUCUCUUGGCUCGAUAAGCCAAGGCCAUGCUGUCCUUAAACAGGAAGCCACUUGUCCUCUCUUUACAAAUUCUCACAAACAGUAAAGAGUCAUAGGCAAAACUAGAAAUGUCUUCUUUUUUUUUCAUUCAAGUUUAAAUCAGCUAGAUAAUGCGUGUGGAAACAUCAAAAAGCAAGAAAUGUGUUCAAAGUUCCUUUUCCAAACACCAGCAUUGUGUUAAACAGCCCGGAUUGUGUGAAUUUUAUCCUAUACAAAGCUUAUAUUUGGAUUCAGGCUUUGUGCCAGAGCCUAACCGGCUUUGAUGUUAAUAGGUAUUGUUGUCACGAAUGCUGGAGCUUAUUGGACGCCUUGGCUGAUGGACAAGUAGAUGAACCACUGAUGGUAGCCAGGAUUAAGAACUGAGACUUUGCGCCUGCUUAACUUUUUUGAUGCAUGAGGCUGGAUUGCAUCAUUUAUUUGGCAGCCACAUUUGCUGGUUCUCCCUUUCCCCCUCGCUGUUAGGGCACUGCAAAAAAGAGUGGCAACUUUGGGGGUCUUGAAGUCUCCAUAACAACCAUGUAUGUAUGUAUGUAUGCACCAUGUAUAUGUCAAUCAGUUUACAGGGAUUGGUGCAUCCUGUCCUGCAAUCACGAAUGUAAACAUGCAGACGUUGCUGAACUAUGUUCAGACUUUAACUGAAAUGUGCUUUGUUCAGAUAAGACUAAGACUGUGUUGUUUUGGAAACAAACAGUAACUGAUAGGCAGACUCAAAAUCAACGUUCUUUAAUUGGGAUCUCAGCCCCCUGACAUAAAUACAGUUUGAGGAAAGGAAAUCAUAAGAGGAUUCUGGAUCCAAAAUUUCUCUCUUUGUAUGCUUCAUUUCUAUGAGACUGUAUUUGACAUGAGUUGGUGUUGUCCUGCAGGCAAUAGGAGUUUGCACAAAGUAUUUUCCACAGAGCUAUUGGGAGCUUUGUUUUUCUCCCCUCAGUGAAUAAUUGUGCUCAACUUCAAGGUUGCACUUUUCUAAAAGUGUCUGUGGGAAAUUGUAGUACUGCAAUAGACAUCUCACUCUAAUGCUAUUUUAAGUGUUAAAACACAUAUUUACUAAGGAUGACAACAAAUUUGUCUGUGUCUGUAAAUUACCAUAAUUUAGAAGCACAAGAUUUAAAUGCAUAAGACUAAAUUAAUGCAAAAUACUGAGCGGUGAAUGAACAUUUUACACACUAAUUUGAUAACAUUUCUGGAAAAAAAGAAAAAAGAAAGUUCUAUAUUAUUCAUGUAUGUAUUUUAAGUUGCAUAUAUUUUUCCUUACAAUACUAAUCACUGUGGUUUUAGGCCUACAUAUGUUGACUCCUUACUGCAUUAUCACAUUCAGUAGGAAGAAUGUGGUGUGGGUGUAAAAUAAAAUGUUCUUAUAUAGCCCCUGGACUUUUUACCUGCACUGAUGUUUUGAUGAUACGCAACGUUCCUGACAUUACAGGGAGCUACAGUAAGAGUCGCGUAAGCAGAAGAAGGAAGACCGAAAAGAGAUGAAAGAGUUUCUCAGAAAAUGAUUAAAAAAAAUCCUUUCCUGGCACUUCCACUGUGAACUGAACAGCACAAAUUGGUUCUGAUUCAUACCCGCACAGUAAAACCUCAGAGUCAUGAAAUGCUGCUGUGGUGAUUUGAACCAGCCCAUAGUGCACUCUUGAUGAUAGCCAGUGAAGAAAAGCCAUGGAUGAUCAGAGGCUCACAGGCUGGUGUGAGUGCUGGUGAUAGUAACCAAGGGCGUGAUAAAAACACAGCUCUGCUAAAUCAGUGUUCUGUAGAAACCCCUGACUGAGGCGGACUUCAUUGCCCGCUCUGCUGCUGCAACUUAAAACAAUCACAAAUGGGUGCAAAAUGUUCCCACGAUGAUGUUUUGAAGCCUGCGAAAAAUACUGUGCAGAUUCCAAAAUUUUCCGCUAAAUAUACUUGCCCCGUUGACAUCACGCUGUUAUCUCAAGCCCAAUUCUUCUUACACGGACAAUUAUGCUGUCAUUUGUCCACAAAGGAAGUUUGGUUCAAACGAGCCAAAUGUGGGGAAGCAGUUUUCUGGUGACUCACUCCAGGGGUGAAGGAUGUUACAGGAAGGAGUUGUACGUAAAAGGGGAUGAAGGUUGAAGGAUGAAGCAAAGUGCGUUGGCGCUCUGUAAAGACCUGACAAAAUCUGUACAUCAUCUUUAGAUGUUCUUAUUCACAUUUAUGUAUGAGAAGUUUCCAGUGAAUAAAUAUUUCUGUUGUGUUUUAAACUUUA
Molecule: non-coding RNA, 2989 nt
Organism: Poecilia reticulata (guppy)
Lineage: Eukaryota; Metazoa; Chordata; Actinopteri; Cyprinodontiformes; Poeciliidae
Source: RefSeq, a predicted model, not a curated record